CCCAUCUUAAGCUCCUUAUCUGAUCGAACUAAAACUUAUUUUGCAUCUCCUGUCACAUGGUGAGGCCAAAAACAAUAUCCACAUCUAUGUAACAAACAAAAAACUGAUCAAAUAGAACAAAAGGGAACCAAUCACCAAACCAGAACCGCUUUUCCUUCAAAAAUGGUGAAGAACCACACAAAGAUCCAUCUGAAAUGGAAGUGCAUAAACAAUAAGCAAGGGGAAAGCCCAGGAAGAAGACAAUGACAGUAGAAAAAUAUUAUACUCCCUCUACAAUGCUUCACGUCCAACAACCAGACCAAGAUAGCCCCACCUUAAGCUCCGACUUUGGUAGAAUCAAAACUUAUUUUGUAUCUCCUGUCAAAGGGUGGGACCAAAAACAAUAUACACAUGUACGUAACAAACAAAAAAUAGAUUAAACAGAGCAAAAGGGAACCAAGCACCAAACCAGAACCGCCUUCCCACGAGAACUGGUUAAUUAGAACCCAAAGAUCAAACAUUUGAAGAUUAAAGAGCAUAACAAUAAGCAAAGGGAAAAAGUUCACCUAGAAGAUAAAUCACAAUAGAAAAAUAAUAUACUCCUGUUGACACCCACCAUAAACACUAUACCAAUGGCAGCAUCCAAGAUUGGUCCAUAUCCAAAUAACCAGACCAAGAUAGCCUCACCUUAAAUACCUAACUUUGAUGGAAUCAAAACCAAUUUUGUAUCUCCUGACACAGGGUGAGGCAGAAAACAAGGUCCAAGUCUACGUAACAAAAUAAAACUAUAAUAGAGAGCAAAGAUAACCAAGGAUCAAACCAGAACAGUCUUCCACAGAAGCCUGAUUAAGAAACACACAACGAUCCGGCAUCUGGAAAUUGAAAAGAAUAACGAUAAGCAAGGGAAAGUUUAGGUAGAAUAUAAAAUUUAGUAAAAAAGUUACAAUACUAUACUCCCUAUGCAACCCUUGAUAAACACUAUAUCAAUGACAGCGUCAAAGGUUGCUCCGUGUCCAACAAUCAGACCAAGAUUGCACCACCAUAAGCUCCUACUUUGAUAGAAUCAAAACUUAAUUUAUAUUUUGUGUCAUAGGGUGAUGCAGAAAACAAUAUCCACGCCAACGUAACAAACAAAAAACUGAUGAAAGAGAAAAAAGAUAACAAAGCAUCAAACCGAACAGCCUUCCAAUUAAGAACCACAACGAUCAGAAAUCUGAAAAUUGAAGAGUAUAACGACAAGCACCGGAAACUCUAGGUAGAAGAGAAAAUAUAGUAGAAGAAAAUGUAGUAUAACAAUCUGCAUCCCUCAAUAAACAUUAUAUCAAUUGACAUCUUAUAUUAGUCCGCAUCCAACAACCCCACCAAGUUGGCCCCCACCUUAAGCUCCCACUUUGAUAGAAUAAAACUGAAUUUGUAUCUCCUGUCACAGGGUGAGGGCGAAAAAAAUAUCAAAGUCUACGUAACAAAAAAAAAAAAACUAUAAUAGAGAACACAGACAACCAAGCGUCAAACAAGAACUGCCUUUCAGAGAAGCUUGAUUAAGAACAAAACAGCAACCAAAGAUUUGUCCAUGUCCAAAAACCAGACCAAGAUAGCCCCCACCUUAAGCUCCUACUUUGAUAGAAUCAAAACCUAUUUUGUAUCUCCUGUCACAGGGUGAGGCUGAAAACAACAUCCAAGUCUACAUAACAGCAAAAGAACUAUAAUUGAGAGAGCAAAGAUAACCAAUUAUCAAACCCGAACUGCCUUCCAGUUAAACUUGAUUAAGAACCACAUAAUGAACAGGCAUCUGGAAAUGGAAGAGAGACUAACAAUAACCACAGGAAAGUCUAGAUGGAAGAUAAAUUGUAGUAGAAAAAAAUACUAUAUUAUACUCCCUCUGCCAUCCUCGAUAAACACUAUAAUUGACAGCGUCAAAGGUUGAUCUGUGGCCAAUAUAACUAAACCAAGAUUAGCCCCACCUUGAGCUCCUACUUUGAUAAAAUCAAAACAAAAUUUUUAUCAUCUGCCAUAGGAUGAGGCAGAAAUACAAUAUACACGUAUACGUAACAAACAAAAAAACUGAUGAUAGAGAGAAAAGAUAAACCCAGCAUCAAACCAGAAGUGCCUUCAAGUAAAGAACACCUGGAAAUUGAAGAGUAUAACGAUAAGUAUAGGAAACUCAAGGUAAAAGAGAAAACGUAAAAAAAAAAAAAAUAACUAUACUGUACACCAUCUGCCACCCUCGACAAACACUAUAUCAAUGAUGGCAUCAUAGAUUAGUCCAUAUCCAAAAACCAGACCAAGAUAACCCCCACCUUAAGCUUCAACUUUGAUAGAAUCAAAACCUAUUUUGUCUCCUGGCACAGGGUGAGGACCAAAACAUUGUCCAAGUCUACAUAACAAAUAAACAAUAAUUACAGAGCAAAGGUGACCAAUUAGCAAACCAGAACAGCCUUCCCGUGAAGCUUGAUUAAAAACCACACAGCGAUCAGGCAUCUGGAAAUUGAUGAGAACAACGGUAAGCAUGGGAAAGUCUAGGUAGAAGAUAAAAGAUAGUAAAAAAAAAAAAAACUAUUCUAUACUCUCUUUGCCAGGCCCACACCACUAUAUCAAUGACAGCAUCAAAGGUAGAUCCGUGUUCAAUAACCAGGCCAACAUUAGCCACACCAUAAGCUCCUUCUUUCAAAACUUAAUUUUUAUCUCCUAUCAUAGGGUGAGGCAGAGAACAAUAUCCACGUCUACAUAACAACAAAAAAUUGUUGAAACUGACAAAAGAUAACCAAGAAAACAAGAAGUGCCAUCCAUUAUGGAAAUUGAAGAGUAUAACUAUAAACACGGGAAACUCUAGGUAGAAGAGAAAAUGUAGUAGAAAAAAAAAAUACUAUUAUGUAUUUCCUUUGCGACCCUCGAUUUACAAUAUACCAAUGAUAACAUCAAAGAUCUGUCCGCGUCCAAAAACCAGACCAAGAUAGCCCCCACAUUAAGCUCCUACAGUGAUGGAAUCAAAACCUAUUUUGUAUCUCCUGUCACAGGGUAGGCCCAAAACAAUAUCCAAGUCUAUAUAACAACAAAAGAAAUAUAAUAGAGAGAUCAAAUGCAACCAAUUAUGAACCCAGAACUGCCUUCCAGUUAAGCUUGAUUAAGAACCACACAACGAUCAGGCAUCUGGAAAUUGAAGAGAAUAACAAUAAGCACGGGAAAGUCAAGAUGGAAGAUAAAUUGUAGCAGAAUUAAUACAAUACUAUACUCCCUCUGACACCCUCGAUAAACAUUAUAUCAGUGACAGCAUCAAAAGUUGAUAUGUCUCCAAUAACUAGACCAAGAUUAGCCCCACCAUAAGCUGCUUCUUUCACAACUUAAUUUUUAACCCCUGUCACAAGGUGAGGCAGAAAACAAUAUCCACGUCUACGUAACAAAUAAAAGAUUGUUGAAACUGACAAAAGAUAACCAAGCAUACCAGAAGUGCCUUCCAGUUAAGAACCACACAACAAUCAGACAUCUGGAAAUUGAAGAGUAUAACUAUUAGCACGGGAAACUCUAGGUAGAAGAGAAAAUGUAGUAGAAAAAAAAUACUAUUAUGUACUCCAUGUACUCCCUUUACCACCCACAUUAAACUAUAUCAAUGACAGCAUGAAGGAUUUGUCAGUGUACCAAAAACCAGACCAAGACACGCCCCCACCUUAAGCUCCUACUUUGAUAGAAUCAGAACCUAUUUUGUAUCUCCUAUCACAGGGUGAGGCUGAAACCAACAUCGAGUCUAAAUAACAACAAAAGAACUACAAUAGAGAGAGCAAAGGUAACCAACUAUCAAACCCGAACUGCCGUCCAGUAAGCUUGAUUAAGAACCACACAACGAUCGGGCAUCUGGAAAUGGAAGAGAAUAACGAUAAGCACCGGAAGGUCUAGAUGGAAGAUAAAUUGUAUUAGAAGAAAUACUAUACUAACUCCCUCUGCCACCCUCGAAAAACAUAUCAUGACCAUCAAAGGAUUGAUUGUGUGCAAUAACUGACUAAGAUUAGCCCUACCUUAAGCCCUACUUUGAUAAAAUUAAAACUUAAUUUUUAUCUCAUGUCAUAGGGUGGGGCAGAAAACAAUAUCACGUCUAUGUACAAACAAAAAUUGUUGAAAUGACAAAAGAUAACCAAACAUCAAACCAGAAGUGUCAUCCAGUUAAGAACCACCCCACGAUCAGACAUCUGGAAAUUGAAGAGUAUAUCUAUAAGCACGGGAAACUCUAGGUAGAAGAGAAAAUGUAUAGAAAUAAAAAUACUAUUAUGUACUCCCUUUGCCACCCUCGAUUAACACAAUAUCAAUGACUCAUCAAAGAUCUGUCCGCGUCCAAAAACCAGACCAAGAUAGCCCCCACAUUAAGCUCCUACAGUGAUGGAAUCAAAACCUAUUUUGUAUCUCCUGUCACAGGGUAGGCCCAAAACAAUAUCCAAGUCUAUAUAACAACAAAAGAAUAUAAUAGAGAGAUCAAAUGCAACCAAUUAUGAACCCAGAACUGCCUUCCAGUUAAGCUUGAUUAAGAACCAAACAACGAUCAGGCAUCUGGAAAUCGAAGAGAAUAACAAUAAGCACGGGAAAGUCAAGAUGGAAGAUAAAUUGUAGCAGAAUUAAUACAAUACUAUACUCCCUCUGACACCCUCGAUAAACAUUAUAUCAGUGACAGCAUCAAAAGUUGAUGUCUCCAGUAACUAGACCAAGAUUAGCCCCACCAUAAGCUGCUUCUUUCACAACUUAAUUUUUAACUCCUGUCACAAGGUGAGGCAGAAAACAAUAUCCACGUCUACGUAACAAAUAAAAGAUUGUUGAAACUGACAAAAGAUAACCAAGCAUACCAGAAGUGCCUUCCAGUUAAGAACCACACAACAAUCAGACAUCUGGAAAUUGAAGAGUAUAACUAUUAGCACGGGAAACUCUAGGUAGAAGAGAAAAUGUAGGUAGAAAAAAAAUACUAUUAGUACUCCCUUUACCACCCACUAUUAACACUAUAUCAAUGACAGCAUGAAGGAUUUGUCAGUGUCCAAAAACCAGACCAAGACAGCCCCCACCUUAAGCUCCUACUUGAUAGAAUCAGAACCUAUUUUGUAUCUCCUAUCACAGGGUGAGGCUGAAACCAACAUCCGAGUCUAAAUAACAACAAAAGAACUACAAUAGAGAGAGCAAAGGUAACCAACUAUCAAACCCGAACUGCCGUCCAGUUAAGCUUGAUUAAGAACCACACAACGAUCGGGCAUCUGGAAAUGAAGAGAAUAACGAUAAGCACCGGAAGGUCUAGAUGGAAGAUAAAUUGUAUAGAAGAAAUACUAUACUAUACUCCCUCUGCCACCCUCGAUAAACACACUAUAUAGUGACCACGUCAAAGGAUUGACUUGUGUGCAAUAACUUGACUAAGAUUAGCCCUACCUUAAGCUCCUACUUGAUAAAAUUAAAACUUAAUUUUUAUCUCAUGUCAUAGGGUGGGGCAGAAAACAAUAUCCACGUCUAUGUAGCAAACAAAAUUGUUGAACUGACAAAAGAUAACCAAACAUCAAACAGAAGUGUCUCCAGUUAAGAACCACCCCACGAUCAGACAUCUGGAAAUUGAAGAGUAUAUCUAUAAGCACGGGAAACUCGAGGUAGAAGAGAAAAUGUAGUAGAAUAAAAAUACUAUUAUGUACUCCCUUUGCCACCCUCGAUUAACACAAUAUCAAUGACUACAUCAAAGAUCUGUCGCGUCCAAAAACCAGACCAAGAUAGCCCCCACAUUAAGCUCCUACAGUGAUGGAAUCAAAACCUAUUUUGUAUCUCCUGUCACAGGGUAGGCUCAAAACAAUAUCCAAGUCUAUAUAACAACAAAAGAAAUAUAAUAGAGAGAUCAAAUGCAACCAAUUAUGAACCCAGAACUGCCUUCCAGUUAAGCUUGAUUAAGAACCAAACAACGAUCAGGCAUCUGGAAAUCGAAGAGAAUAACAAUAAGCACGGGAAAGUCAAGAUGGAAGAUAAAUUGUAGCAGAAUUAAUACAAUACUAUACUCCCUCUGACACCCUCGAUAAACAUUAUAUCAGUGACAGCAUCAAAAGUUGAUAGUCUCCAUAACUAGACCAAGAUUAGCCCCACCAUAAGUGCUUCUUUCACAACUUAAUUUUUAACCCCUGUCACAAGGUGAGGCAGAAAACAAUAUCCACGUCUACGUAACAAAUAAAAGAUUGUUGAAACUGACAAAAGAUAACCAAGCAUACCAGAAGUGCCUUCCAGUUAAGAACCACACAACAUCAGACAUCUGGAAAUUGAAGAGUAUAUCUAUAGCACGGGAAAUUCUAGGUAGAAGAGAAAAUGUAGUAGAAAAAAAAUACUAUUAUGUACUCCCUUUCCACCCCGAUUAAACAUAUCAAUGACCAUAAGAUUGUCGGUCCAAAAACCAGACCAAGACAGCCCCCACCUUAAGCUCCUACUUUGAUAGAAUCAGAACCUAUUUUGUAUCUCCUAUCACAGGGUGAGGCUGAAACCAACAUCGAGUCUAAAUAACAACAAAAGAACUACAAUAGAGAAAGCAAAGGUAACCAACUAUCAAACCCGAACUGCCGUCCAGUUAAGCUUGAUUAAGAACCACACAACGAUCGGGCAUCUGGAAAUGGAAGAGAAUAACGAUAAGCACCGGAAGGUCUAGAUGGAAGAUAAAUUGUAUUAGAAGAAAUACUAUCUAUACUCCCUCUGCCACCCUCGAUAAACACACUAUAUCAGUGACCACGUCAAAGGAUUGACUUGUGUGCAAUAACUUGACUAAGAUUAGCCCUACUUAAGCUCCUACUUUGAUAAAAUUAAAACUUAAUUUUUAUCUCAUGUCAUAGGGUGGGGCAGAAAACAAUAUCCACGUCUAUGUACAAACAAAAUUGUUGAAAUGACAAAAGAUAACCAAACAUCAAACCAGAAG
This 6877-nucleotide long non-coding RNA is filed under the name Salvia miltiorrhiza (redroot sage). RNAcentral describes it as "long non-coding RNA (SMIL_LNC005898)". Lineage: Eukaryota; Viridiplantae; Streptophyta; Magnoliopsida; Lamiales; Lamiaceae. The record is from RNAcentral.